AGUUCAAAGUAGAAUUUUUUUGACGCAGAGCAACAAGUGCUGGAUGUUGAGAUGGGGUUUAUCCUGGUCUGGUCCCUGACCUGUUUCUUGUUGAAUAUACACCUCUGCAAACAGGCCACAGACAGACCACAGGCCCACCUGACCAUGGAC
Sphaeramia orbicularis (orbiculate cardinalfish) is the source of this 150-nucleotide long non-coding RNA. RefSeq lists it as uncharacterized. The record is from RefSeq and is a predicted model, not a curated record. The transcript has 3 exons. NCBI's taxonomy places the organism in Eukaryota, Metazoa, Chordata, Actinopteri, Kurtiformes, Apogonidae.